CCUUAAUUGCCUCAGAUCUUCUGGCCAUCAAUCUGAAAACUGUAGACAUUUCUCCAAAAAAUACCUGGAAUGCCGCAUGGAAAAAAACUUGAUGGCAAGGCAAGACAUGUCAGAACUUGGGUUUGAAAAGGUAACUGAUUUGGAAGCUUCUGGAGAGAAACAACAAUAGGAUUAAUAACUAAGUAGGAAAUAAUCACAGGGACACAGAUGUAUUUGGAAUUAAAGACUGAAGCUUAUGCUAGUGCUGGCAGAGUUAAUCAGGAAUUCAUAUUCAUUUGACAGGUAAACUUAUCAUAAAUUGUUCACAACCAAGAUAAUGGACCAUUAUGGGGGUUUGAUUAGAACUCUCUUCAC
RNAcentral lists this unclassified non-coding RNA (354 nucleotides) under Hevea brasiliensis (rubber tree). Lineage: Eukaryota; Viridiplantae; Streptophyta; Magnoliopsida; Malpighiales; Euphorbiaceae. The record is from RNAcentral.